Molecule: non-coding RNA, 564 nt
Organism: Lemur catta (Ring-tailed lemur)
Lineage: Eukaryota; Metazoa; Chordata; Mammalia; Primates; Lemuridae
Source: the annotation of a RefSeq genome assembly
AUGGAGUCUGGGCUGCGCUGGGUUUUCCUUGUUGCUCUGCUACAAGGUGUCCAGUGUGAGGUGCAGCUGGUGGAGUCUGGAGGAGGCUUGGUCCAGCCUGGGGGUUCCCUGAGACUCUCCUGUGCAGCCUCUGGAUUCACCUUCAGCAGCUACUGGAUGAGCUGGGUCCGCCAGGCUCCAGGGAAGGGGCUGGAGUGGGUCUCAUACAUUAAUGGUAACGGUGGUAGCACAAGCUACGCAGACGCCGUGAAGGGCCGAUUCACCAUCUCCAGAGACAACGCCAAGAACACGCUGUCUCUGCAAAUGAACAGUCUGAGAGCCGAGGACACGGCCCUGUACUACUGUGCCAGUGACACAGUGAGGGGACAUCAGUUCUAUUUUCUCAUCUUCGCCUUCUCCUUCUUCUCCAAGAAAAUGGAGGGUGUGGUCUCUGUGUCUAAAUCCCAGGACUCAGGCCCUUUACCUGCAGCUCAGAGUCACCUUCAACACCUGUGGCAUCGGGGAGACCUGCAGGUGGAACCUGAAUGUGCUGAGAGCUCUGCGGUGGCAUCCAGGUCCUUGUGA